RNAcentral lists this small nuclear RNA (104 nucleotides) under Octodon degus (degu). The record is from RNAcentral. Lineage: Eukaryota; Metazoa; Chordata; Mammalia; Rodentia; Octodontidae.
GUGCUCGCUUCGGCAGCACAUGUACUAAAAUUGGAAUGAUACAGAGAUUAGCAUGGCCCCUGCGCAAGGAUGUCACGCGAAUUCGUGAAGCGUUCCAUUUUUAU